This 2137-nucleotide ribosomal RNA is filed under the name Staphylococcus aureus H79484. RNAcentral's name for it is "bacterial LSU rRNA". It matches the Rfam family "Bacterial large subunit ribosomal RNA", at positions 3 to 2138 of the family's 2925-position model. Lineage: Bacteria; Bacillati; Bacillota; Bacilli; Caryophanales; Staphylococcaceae. The record is from RNAcentral.
UUAAGUUAUUAAGGGCGCACGGUGGAUGCCUUGGCACUAGAAGCCGAUGAAGGACGUUACUAACGACGAUAUGCUUUGGGGAGCUGUAAGUAAGCUUUGAUCCAGAGAUUUCCGAAUGGGGAAACCCAGCAUGAGUUAUGUCAUGUUAUCGAUAUGUGAAUACAUAGCAUAUCAGAAGGCACACCCGGAGAACUGAAACAUCUUAGUACCCGGAGGAAGAGAAAGAAAAUUCGAUUCCCUUAGUAGCGGCGAGCGAAACGGGAAGAGCCCAAACCAACAAGCUUGCUUGUUGGGGUUGUAGGACACUCUAUACGGAGUUACAAAGGACGACAUUAGACGAAUCAUCUGGAAAGAUGAAUCAAAGAAGGUAAUAAUCCUGUAGUCGAAAAUGUUGUCUCUCUUGAGUGGAUCCUGAGUACGACGGAGCACGUGAAAUUCCGUCGGAAUCUGGGAGGACCAUCUCCUAAGGCUAAAUACUCUCUAGUGACCGAUAGUGAACCAGUACCGUGAGGGAAAGGUGAAAAGCACCCCGGAAGGGGAGUGAAAUAGAACCUGAAACCGUGUGCUUACAAGUAGUCAGAGCCCGUUAAUGGGUGAUGGCGUGCCUUUUGUAGAAUGAACCGGCGAGUUACGAUUUGAUGCAAGGUUAAGCAGUAAAUGUGGAGCCGUAGCGAAAGCGAGUCUGAAUAGGGCGUUUAGUAUUUGGUCGUAGACCCGAAACCAGGUGAUCUACCCUUGGUCAGGUUGAAGUUCAGGUAACACUGAAUGGAGGACCGAACCGACUUACGUUGAAAAGUGAGCGGAUGAACUGAGGGUAGCGGAGAAAUUCCAAUCGAACCUGGAGAUAGCUGGUUCUCUCCGAAAUAGCUUUAGGGCUAGCCUCAAGUGAUGAUUAUUGGAGGUAGAGCACUGUUUGGACGAGGGGCCCCUCUCGGGUUACCGAAUUCAGACAAACUCCGAAUGCCAAUUAAUUUAACUUGGGAGUCAGAACAUGGGUGAUAAGGUCCGUGUUCGAAAGGGAAACAGCCCAGACCACCAGCUAAGGUCCCAAAAUAUAUGUUAAGUGGAAAAGGAUGUGGCGUUGCCCAGACAACUAGGAUGUUGGCUUAGAAGCAGCCAUCAUUUAAAGAGUGCGUAAUAGCUCACUAGUCGAGUGACACUGCGCCGAAAAUGUACCGGGGCUAAACAUAUUACCGAAGCUGUGGAUUGUCCUUUGGACAAUGGUAGGAGAGCGUUCUAAGGGCGUUGAAGCAUGAUCGUAAGGACAUGUGGAGCGCUUAGAAGUGAGAAUGCCGGUGUGAGUAGCGAAAGACGGGUGAGAAUCCCGUCCACCGAUUGACUAAGGUUUCCAGAGGAAGGCUCGUCCGCUCUGGGUUAGUCGGGUCCUAAGCUGAGGCCGACAGGCGUAGGCGAUGGAUAACAGGUUGAUAUUCCUGUACCACCUAUAAUCGUUUUAAUCGAUGGGGGGACGCAGUAGGAUAGGCGAAGCGUGCGAUUGGAUUGCACGUCUAAGCAGUAAGGCUGAGUAUUAGGCAAAUCCGGUACUCGUUAAGGCUGAGCUGUGAUGGGGAGAAGACAUUGAGUCUUCGAGUCGUUGAUUUCACACUGCCGAGAAAAGCCUCUAGAUAGAAAAUAGGUGCCCGUACCGCAAACCGACACAGGUAGUCAAGAUGAGAAUUCUAAGGUGAGCGAGCGAACUCUCGUUAAGGAACUCGGCAAAAUGACCCCGUAACUUCGGGAGAAGGGGUGCUCUUUAGGGUUAACGCCCAGAAGAGCCGCAGUGAAUAGGCCCAAGCGACUGUUUAUCAAAAACACAGGUCUCUGCUAAACCGUAAGGUGAUGUAUAGGGGCUGACGCCUGCCCGGUGCUGGAAGGUUAAGAGGAGUGGUUAGCUUCUGCGAAGCUACGAAUCGAAGCCCCAGUAAACGGCGGCCGUAACUAUAACGGUCCUAAGGUAGCGAAAUUCCUUGUCGGGUAAGUUCCGACCCGCACGAAAGGCGUAACGAUUUGGGCACUGUCUCAACGAGAGACUCGGUGAAAUCAUAGUACCUGUGAAGAUGCAGGUUACCCGCGACAGGACGGAAAGACCCCGUGGAGCUUUACUGUAGCCUGAUAUUGAAAUUCGGCACAGCUUGUA